RNAcentral lists this transfer RNA (76 nucleotides) under Candidatus Nitrotoga arctica. RNAcentral's name for it is "tRNA-Glu". It matches the Rfam family "tRNA". From Rfam's summary of the family: Transfer RNA (tRNA) molecules are approximately 80 nucleotides in length. Their secondary structure includes four short double-helical elements and three loops (D, anti-codon, and T loops). Lineage: Bacteria; Pseudomonadati; Pseudomonadota; Betaproteobacteria; Nitrosomonadales; Gallionellaceae. The record is from RNAcentral. RNAcentral also lists the same sequence under 7 other names.
GUCCCCAUCGUCUAGAGGCCUAGGACACCGCCCUUUCACGGCGGUAACACGAGUUCGAAUCUCGUUGGGGACGCCA